UGACGCUGGGAUCUUUCCUGG
This 21-nucleotide unclassified non-coding RNA is filed under the name Chlamydomonas reinhardtii. RNAcentral's name for it is "small RNA Cre_2884". The record is from RNAcentral. Lineage: Eukaryota; Viridiplantae; Chlorophyta; Chlorophyceae; Chlamydomonadales; Chlamydomonadaceae.